AGCAGCCGCGGUAAUUCCAGCUCCAAUAGCGUAUAUUAAAGUUGUUGCAGUUAAAAAGCUCGUAGUUGAAUUUCGGGAUUGACGUGAUGGUCAUGCCUUAAGGGGUAUGAACUGUUACAGUUGAUUUCUCACCUUCUGGAGAAACUUGAUGUCCUUUAUUGGGUGUCUUGCGGAUCCAGGACCUUUACCUUGAAAAAAUUAGAGUGUUUAAAGCAGGCAUUUUUGCUCGAAUACAUUAGCAUGGAAUAAUAGAAUAGGACGGCAUGGUUCUAUUUUGUUGGUUUCUAGGAUCACCGUAAUGAUUAAUAGGGAUAGUUGGGGGCAUUAGUAUUCAAUUGUCAGAGGUGAGAUUCUUGGAUUUAUUGAAGACUAACUACUGCGAAAGCAUUUGCCAAGGAUGUUUUCAUUAAUCAAGAACGAAAGUUAGGGGAUCGAAGACGAUCAGAUACCGUCGUAGUCUUAACCAUAAACUAUGUCCGACUAGGGAUCGGAUGAUGUUAAUUUUUAAUGACU
RNAcentral lists this ribosomal RNA (513 nucleotides) under uncultured Glomus. Its description in RNAcentral is "SSU rRNA". It matches the Rfam family "Eukaryotic small subunit ribosomal RNA", at positions 569 to 1076 of the family's 1831-position model. Lineage: Eukaryota; Fungi; Glomeromycota; Glomeromycetes; Glomerales; Glomeraceae. The record is from RNAcentral.